Molecule: ribosomal RNA, 253 nt
Filed under: uncultured bacterium
Lineage: Bacteria
Description: partial 16S ribosomal RNA
Rfam family: Bacterial small subunit ribosomal RNA
Source: RNAcentral
UACGGAGGGUGCGAGCGUUAUCCGGAUUCACUGGGCUUAAAGGGUGCGUAGGUGGGAAUGUAAGUCAGUGGUGAAAUCUCCGUGCUUAACACGGAAACUGCCAUUGAUACUAUGUUUCUUGAAUUUUCUGGAGGUUAGCGGAAUAUGUCAUGUAGCGGUGAAAUGCUUAGAUAUGACAUAGAACACCGAUUGCGAAGGCAGCUAACUACAGGGAUAUUGACACUGAGGCACGAAAGCGUGGGGAUCAAACAGG